UUUUCAAGGAGAAUGCUAUUGUUGCAUUAUAUGCAGAUUAGGCAGCGCUAGUGAAGAUUAUAAUUGCUGUUACUGAGCUGAAUUGUUUUUGUUUUCGGUUCAUCACUCUCUUUUGCCCUUACCGCCUUAUAUUAUUGAAUGGGGUUGCAGGAAAUAGGAAACUUGCUCAAAGCCUACAGGUUUAUCUUCUGUCAAGAGACUACUAUUGUUUGAAGUUGGAGUUGGAACAUGGAAAUGGGCAGGUUUGUUUUUGGUUAUGAAGGAGUGGCUUCAUAAUUGGAGAAAUUUACGUGGAUUGAAAUAUGUUAACCAGUGAGGUGAAUAGAGGAAGAAGAUGAAGGUAGAAUGAAGGGAAGGAGUCUGAAGGUUGGGAGGAAAUUAUGGUUUUGUGGAGAGAAUUCAGAGAUUCUGCGAAGGGAGGGUGAGAAGAAGAGAGCAACCUGCGUGAGCUGUUUGCAUGAUGCUUUUAUCGUGGGGGACAAAUUUAGCAAUGUGGAAGUCUGAAGGUCACCAAGCUGUGGUUCGUGAACCAAUUGCAGGGUCCUUGAACUAGCU
RNAcentral lists this long non-coding RNA (555 nucleotides) under Gossypium barbadense (sea-island cotton). RNAcentral describes it as "long non-coding RNA (GBAR_LNC019490)". Lineage: Eukaryota; Viridiplantae; Streptophyta; Magnoliopsida; Malvales; Malvaceae. The record is from RNAcentral.